This 742-nucleotide ribosomal RNA is filed under the name uncultured bacterium. Its description in RNAcentral is "bacterial SSU rRNA". It matches the Rfam family "Bacterial small subunit ribosomal RNA", at positions 8 to 745 of the family's 1533-position model. The record is from RNAcentral.
AGAGUUUGAUCCUGGCUCAGAUUGAACGCUGGCGGAAUGCUUUACACAUGCAAGUCGAACGGCAGCACGGGCUUCGGUCUGGUGGCGAGUGGCGAACGGGUGAGUAAUGCGCCGGAACGUAUCCCGUAAUGGGGGAUAACGCAGCGAAAGCUGUGCUAAUACCGCAUACGCCCUGAGGGGGAAAGCAGGGGACCGCAAGGCCUUGCGUUAUGGGAGCGGCCGACGUCUGAUUAGCUAGCAGGUGGGGUAAAGGCCUACCUAGGCGAUGAUCAGUAGCUGGUCUGAGAGGAUGAUCAGCCACACUGGGACUGAGACACGGCCCAGACUCCUACGGGAGGCAGCAGUGGGGAAUUUUGGACAAUGGGCGGAAGCCUGAUCCAGCCAUUCCGCGUGAGUGAAGAAGGCCUUCGGGUUGUAAAGCUCUUUCGGCAGGGAAGAAACGGUCCGGGUUAAUAAGCCGGACUACUGACGGUACCUGAAGAAGAAGCACCGGCUAACUACGUGCCAGCAGCCGCGGUAAUACGUAGGGUGCGAGCGUUAAUCGGAAUUACUGGGCGUAAAGGGUGCGCAGGCGGUUCAUCAAGUCUGACGUGAAAGCCCCGGGCUUAACCUGGGAACGGCGUUGGAAACUGAAGGACUUGAGUGCGGCAGAGGGGGGUAGAAUUCCACGUGUAGCAGUGAAAUGCGUAGAGAUGUGGAGGAAUACCGAUGGCGAAGGCAGCCCCCUGGGUUGGCACUGACG